This is a long non-coding RNA of Marmota monax (woodchuck), 2306 nucleotides long. RefSeq lists it as uncharacterized. The transcript has 2 exons. The record is from RefSeq and is a predicted model, not a curated record. NCBI's taxonomy places the organism in Eukaryota, Metazoa, Chordata, Mammalia, Rodentia, Sciuridae.
GAGCGGCGAGGAGGAGGAGCCCGGGAGGAGAGCGAGGAGGGCGAGGCGGGGGAGGGGGCCGGAGGGAAGCGCUGGCUAGGAACCGAGGGCUCCUCGCUAAAGUGCCCUCAACGCCGGGAAGCGUCCACAGGACCCGGUGCCGGGAGACGGCUAGGAGGCCGCUCAGGGAAGCACGACGACUUCAACGAUGACGCAAGAGUCAUGCAAAAUUAUACAUAUAUAUUGAAAGUCCACCCGGAAGGCAAGAGCCAUCCUAUCGGCCUCUAAGUGCACAAGGGAACUAGAAAUCAAAGAGAAAGAAAGGCCAAGAGGAUUAAAAAAAAUAAUUUAGAAGGCGUCCGGAGUGGGGGUGGGGGUCCUGAGCUGGAAGGCAGGGACUCCUGGUUUAUUGCUUAGUCUCCCCCACCACCCCCACACCUUUCACAGCACGAGCUUGAAUCAUUUUCUAUAAAACUGGUGACUAAGAGAGAGACAGCGUGUCGAACCGUUGAAGCACCCCCAACCAGCCAGAAAAGGGACUCCGGUCGCCGCAAAUGUACCUGUGCUCCCCCUGGAGGUGACAUUCUCCUAGGCCCCCUUUAGGUCUUAAGUGUCCCUCCUAGGGGAUUCUGUUGUGAUGUCUGAGAAGUGAUACCCUCACGUGCCUGUGAUCCAAGCAGCAUCCCCCGCCCCUCUGUCUGGCAUAGCAAGAAAACACCCGUCUGGCCAGGUCUGGUUCUCCAGCCAACACUGCUGCUUUGAACAUUGGGAAGUGGAGAUGUGACUUCUCUUUGUCAAACUCUGUGCCCAUUGCGUGUGCAUCUACCCAGAGGGGUGACACUGCAUAGCAAGAGAUGAAGGCAGUACUGAGGCAAGCAGUGGUCGCAAAAGCAAGGAUGUGAUGGAUGGACGAGACAAGAAUUUGCAGUGCAAAUUGCCUUGUUCUGCACCCAGCCACUGUCCUGGGGAGUUGUUGGUUUAUCUCUCCGGAACACCACCAUUUGCUUCUGCUCAGUGUUCUUUCUGAUUUCAUCUCUGUAAUUGUGUGGUUUACAUGGAAGCUGCUCCUUAUACUUCUUGCCCUGAUACCUGUGGAUUGGCCCUAGGAGAGUACUAAUGUAAGAUGAGAUAAGCAAAACCCUUUCCUGAACAUUUUGAAUUUGAGAUUCACAAGAGUGUCCUCUCUGUUACAACUAAACUGGAUAAUGUGGCCCUGGAAGAUGUUGGCCAUUCAUGAAAUAGCCAAAUAGCCAAGAAAAUGAAACUAAAUUACAAAAAGAAGUAAAGAUGGAAAGAUGACCGAGGGUUGUGGCUCAGUGGUAGAGUGCUCAUCUAGCAAGUGAGAGGCACUGGGUUCAAUCCUUAGCACCACAUAAAAAUAAAUGAAAUAAAGGUAUUAUGUCCAUCUACAACUUUAAAAAAAUUAAUAAAGGAAAAAAUCUUGCCCAAAGUUACACAGCUAUUUCAAAAUGAUUUGUCGUCAAAGCUCAUACUGCUUGCCUUGUUCUAUACUGAUCAGGGACCAAAAAUUUUUGUAGGAAAGUAGCAAGUUCGUGUCUGUCAUUUGAGAACAUUCUGGGACUGAAGUAUAGAUGUGGAAAGUAGGAGAGUGAUGCGGAGAGAGAUCAUGUGAGUCUGAACCAAGCAUGGCCAUGAACAGGAAGAGGAGAGCAUGGGUUUCAGUUGUAUUUAAAUGAUAGAAUUCAUAGGGUUUCAUCACAGUGUGGAGAGGGUUUUCAUUACUACCUUCAUUACCACACUUCCAGGAGGACUGUUUCUUGACCCACUUAUUGAACAAAAGCCUGGGACUUUCUGUGAUCAUAUCAACUUCGUUCAUCCCUAAACCAAUCAUGGUGGCCAGCAAAAAGUCAGGUGGCUGUUGCCUUAGGCUAGGGGUACUGUCCAUCCCUAAACUCAUCAUGGUGACAAUUGGUCCUGAUUUGGUCCAUUAGUCAUUUCCACCCAGGCAUGAGAUUUCAUUCCUAUCCAGAUUCUAUGGUUCUUGCAAACGGGGUGACAGGUGUGUGCUGGGGGGCAUCUAUGCUGGGGAGGCAACCAGCAAUAUCCAUUAUACCUAGAUGUUGCCCACCUUUCAAUGUAUCUCCCCCCACCUAGCUACAAUGGAAAUAAAGGAUCUGAGGAGGAAGCCGAUGUCAAGGUAAGAAGGAUCCAUGUCAAAUCCAUGGUUUGUUCCAGAUAUCAGCCAGUUUUUCAGUACUGGAGUCCAUGCAGUCUCCAAAUCCCUCAUUCUAAGUCUACCUCCUCUUCUCUCUCUGGCCCUCCUUCUUAGAGAUUAUUGAUGAGUAAAUAAAAUGAAUAUCACCAUU